This is a non-coding RNA of Ictidomys tridecemlineatus (thirteen-lined ground squirrel), 2672 nucleotides long. NCBI's taxonomy places the organism in Eukaryota, Metazoa, Chordata, Mammalia, Rodentia, Sciuridae. The record is from RefSeq and is a predicted model, not a curated record.
UUAAGGCCUAAUUUUUCCCUCUAUAGUCUGCUUUACAGCUGCUAAGCAUACUUUUUAAAACUCUCGAUUCCCUUAAAAGUCAUUUCCUCAAGAAUUAUUACUGAAAAAUGACUUUCAUUGAAUCCAAGAUGCUUCAGAAUGAAAAGUGAGGUCCACAGCCCAUUCAGAUUAGCAUGCAAUUUUUUGUCUACAAAAAUAGAGCUGUUAGGGAAGUACCCAAUCUUCAUUGCCUGGAGAACAACCAAGGGUGAAUCUAGUGUGCUAUGCUGAAGAGACCUACUGCUGCUUCUGCCUCUUGUCAAUCACUUAAAGAUUUAUUUUCUACCCAUGACCUCAUGGUAAGUCAAUGGGAAGGAUUAUUACUAACCCGACAUUCUUAAGUUCCAAUGUUACUGAAUUUUAUUUUCUCCUAUUAAGCAUCUGUUAUUUUAUGCUUUUGUCAUUUACAUCAGGACUUUGAGAUCAUGACUCAUUCCAAGUCAACAGUGGGAUCACAGAUGGUGUCAAAACAAAAUCUGUUGCUUGAAAACAUGAAGGCACUUCGUAUAUCAUCCACGGCUUUCCCCUCUUUCACUGUAUCUCUUUAAGCUCUAUUUCAGAACUGAGUAUUUUCUUUCAUUGUUCCUAGGACAAGUCACUGUAUUCAUAGUUUGGUUAUGUUAUGCCAUUUAAUUUUUCUCCAUGACAUUUAUUACCAGCUCAUAUUCAGCCACAUCAAUUUUUUUAAGUAUUUAUUUUUUAGUUGUAGUCAGACACAAUACCUUUCUUUUUAUUUAUUUAUUUUUAUGUGUUGCUGAGGAUCAAACCCAGGGCCCCGCACCUGCUAGGCCAGCACUCUACCGCCGAGCCACAACCCCAGCCCCACAUCAUUUUUUAAAAUCAUCAAAAUACUACUAUGUCAGUUGAUAAAGAGUGGCUCUCUGUCCUAAGCCCUCCAGUGCCUUCACGACCCCACUCUUCCUCCAGAUUCCAUGGAUCUCUCUAUCUUCCAGCACUGAAAGAGUUAGCACCUCAUGUCCUUCGAGGAUCCUACUCCAAGACAACCACCGGUAUCAUUUCUGAUCGGUCAGUGCCAGCGCCAUACCAACUUAUAUUUCACAUUUAUCACCACACAUACUGAGUGGCAAGGGGCAUAGACUUCUUUGUUUUGUUCAGUGCAUCAUCCCUAAUGUCUCCUUGAACUGUGUUUAGCAGACAGUAGACUCUCAAAUAAUUAUUGAAGGAAAAAAUGAAGUGCAUCUAUGCCCAUGGUACCAAAAACAUGAGAUGUGAAUCAGGAGAACCACUCAGUCAGGAAAACAGGGAAGACCUAGGAAUUAAGUUAUGAUUUUUUUUUAUAGAAGACAAAUAAGCUUUUUUUCUUUGGUUAGCAGCUUUAACUCAUGGCAUUAACUCUUAAUACUUUAGUUUUUCAGGCAAGGUGUUGUAAGCCAAAAUUGGCUUCCAGGUCCCAAAUUGGUAACGAAAUACUAGACCUGGAAAUGAACACUAGUCAUAUUAUACUUUAAGCCAACAAAGCCUGGAGGUGUUUCAGGGAAUGAGGCAAUCUUGAUGAGUACAGGGCAUCCUCCUGUGGUGGUAGAGACAGAGUCACCCAGAAUAGCUAAGAAUAACUAAGCUUUGUCAGACAAGUUUUGUUUGGUCAUUAAUUAUAGAGCUGUUAAGUUGACCGUCAAUGCAUCAACAAAACAUGCAAGGCCACGAUUCUACACUCUCUUGUGCGUUUUUCUGCCUUUCCAUAUGAUCUGAAAGGCAUCCUUAUCCAGAACUUCCCGUGUUGUACUCUGUCAUCUUAAUACAAAUGUUGUCCUUCUGAACUUGUUUUGAGACCAUAUGCUCAUUUUCAGAAGAGGAGACGCCAACUCCUCCUCUGUAUUUAUGAUCAUCCAGUUCCGCCUCCCUCAGCCCCUUUCCAGCAGAUUGUCACCUUCAGGAGCCUAACACAUGAUUUAUGUGAGCCCAGUUUUUACUUAGAUCCUCUCUUUCAUCUUGCUGGUCUACACCACCCAUCUGCUUGUGUGAUCCAGAUUGAUGUGGGAACCCUCAGGUUUGCUGGAGACUGGUAUUUGUCCCUGUGAGAGGUUACUAAAAGUUUAGCCUUCAAAGUACAGAAUCUUUAGCAACAUUAUUUCUAUUGCUGCAGGCAUUUCUCUACCUAUUUGCCACUUGGGCGAUCCCUGGAGUCAUCAGAUUGGCCAGUCUUCUCCCAGCCUGGAAAUAGGCCUGUGGGUUAUACCAAAAAUAUCUUCUUCCCACUGUUGCAGUAACAGGGGAGUUCUACUAACCUUCCAGAUGAAAACAUUGAGGAUGUCCGAGGUUAAAUGGCCCAAUGUCACACAAGUAGUAGAGGCAGAAUUUGCCACCCGAGUGUGCCUGGCGUUGAAGUUGACUGAAUUCUUUCAGCUGUCCCUCACAGCUCUCUAGUAACAAUACCAGACAACUUUUUUAAGUGACAUGUGUUAUGCCAAGAUGCCUUGUCAUUUCUUCUUCAUCAAUUGAGGACCAUCAUCUCUUUCAAAGUUGGAUUCAAAGAAAAACAACAACAACAACAAAAAUACAACGUGUGACCUAGAAUAUUCCCUGCCUUGGCUACCAUGGAUCUACUAUGUGAAAGAGGUUCCUGGAUGUUUUCUUCAGAAGUUGCUGAGUCUUUGUGGCUGAAUAAAACUCCA